UACGUAGGUGGCAAGCGUUGUCCGGAAUUAUUGGGCGUAAAGCGCGCGCAGGCGGUCCUUUAAGUCUGAUGUGAAAGCCCACGGCUCAACCGUGGAGGGUCAUUGGAAACUGGGGGACUUGAGUACAGAAGAGAAGAGUGGAAUUCCAUGUGUAGCGGUGAAAUGCGUAGAGAUGUGGAGGAACACCAGUGGCGAAGGCGACUCUUUGGUCUGUAACUGACGCUGAGGCGCGAAAGCGUGGGGAGCAAACAGG
This 253-nucleotide ribosomal RNA is filed under the name uncultured bacterium. RNAcentral describes it as "partial 16S ribosomal RNA". It matches the Rfam family "Bacterial small subunit ribosomal RNA", at positions 524 to 776 of the family's 1533-position model. The record is from RNAcentral.